Molecule: ribosomal RNA, 253 nt
Filed under: uncultured bacterium
Lineage: Bacteria
Description: partial 16S ribosomal RNA
Rfam family: Bacterial small subunit ribosomal RNA
Source: RNAcentral
UACAGGGGGGGCAAGCGUUGUUCGGAAUUACUGGGCGUAAAGCGCGCGUAGGUGGUUUGUUAAGUUGGAUGUGAAAUCCCCGGGCUCAACCUGGGAACUGCAUCCAAAACUGGCAAGCUAGAGUAUGGUAGAGGGUGGUGGAAUUUCCUGUGUAGCGGUGAAAUGCGUAGAUAUAGGAAGGAACACCAGUGGCGAAGGCGACCACCUGGACUGAUACUGACACUGAGGUGCGAAAGCGUGGGGAGCAAACAGG